RNAcentral lists this ribosomal RNA (471 nucleotides) under Bacillus sp. R-32574. RNAcentral describes it as "bacterial SSU rRNA". It matches the Rfam family "Bacterial small subunit ribosomal RNA", at positions 20 to 482 of the family's 1533-position model. The record is from RNAcentral. Lineage: Bacteria; Bacillati; Bacillota; Bacilli; Caryophanales; Bacillaceae.
UGGCUCAGGAUGAACGCUGGCGGCGUGCCUAAUACAUGCAAGUCGAGCGAAUGGAUUAAGAGCUUGCUCUUAUGAAGUUAGCGGCGGACGGGUGAGUAACACGUGGGUAACCUGCCCAUAAGACUGGGAUAACUCCGGGAAACCGGGGCUAAUACCGGAUAACAUUUUGCACCGCAUGGUGCGAAAUUCAAAGGCGGCUUCGGCUGUCACUUAUGGAUGGACCCGCGUCGCAUUAGCUAGUUGGUGAGGUAACGGCUCACCAAGGCAACGAUGCGUAGCCGACCUGAGAGGGUGAUCGGCCACACUGGGACUGAGACACGGCCCAGACUCCUACGGGAGGCAGCAGUAGGGAAUCUUCCGCAAUGGACGAAAGUCUGACGGAGCAACGCCGCGUGAGUGAUGAAGGCUUUCGGGUCGUAAAACUCUGUUGUUAGGGAAGAACAAGUGCUAGUUGAAUAAGCUGGCACCUGA